GCGCGAAACCUCUGCAAUAGGCGAAAGCUUGACAGGGUUACUCUGAGUGAUUUCCGUUAAGGAGAUCUUUUGGCACCUCUAAAAAUGGUGCAGAAUAAGGGGUGGGCAAGUCUGGUGUCAGCCGCCGCGGUAAUACCAGCACCCCGAGUGGUCGGGACGUUUAUUGGGCCUAAAGCAUCCGUAGCCGGUUCUACAAGUCUUCCGUUAAAUCCACCUGCUUAACAGAUGGGCUGCGGAAGAUACUAUAGAGCUAGGAGGCGGGAGAGGCAAGCGGUACUCGAUGGGUAGGGGUAAAAUCCGUUGAUCCAUUGAAGACCACCAGUGGCGAAGGCGGCUUGCCAGAACGCGCUCGACGGUGAGGGAUGAAAGCUGGGGGAGCAAACCGGAUUAGAUACCCGGGUAGUCCCAGCUGUAAACGAUGCAGACUCGGUGAUGAGUUGGCUUAUUGCUAACUCAGUGCCGCAGGGAAGCCGUUAAGUUUGCCGCCUGGGGAGUACGGUCGCAAGACUGAAACUUAA
Molecule: ribosomal RNA, 518 nt
Filed under: uncultured Nitrososphaerota archaeon
Lineage: Archaea; Thermoproteati; Nitrososphaerota
Also listed under: 1 other name
Description: bacterial SSU rRNA
Rfam family: Archaeal small subunit ribosomal RNA
Source: RNAcentral